AUUUUUUCCUUUAACACCUUGAUUGAUGGCUAUUGCAAACAGUCAAAAUUGGCUGAUGCAAUCGAGAUUCUAAAUACAAUGUGGGAUCAUGAUGUUGUUCCAGAUGUGAUAACCUAUAACACAAUAUUGAAUGGACUUUGCAAGCUUAAAACUUCUGAUGAUGUGAUGGAAACCUUCAAAGUCAUGGUGGAAAAAGGGUGCGUCCCA
This 207-nucleotide unclassified non-coding RNA is filed under the name Hevea brasiliensis (rubber tree). Lineage: Eukaryota; Viridiplantae; Streptophyta; Magnoliopsida; Malpighiales; Euphorbiaceae. The record is from RNAcentral.